AAGCAAUUAAGGUAUUGGCGUGCCUCAAUUUGAACACAUGAUUAUUAUCAAAACCAGCCAUGUAGUUUUAAUUGAGCCGCGUCAAUAUCUUAUUUUUUUUU
Lupinus angustifolius (narrow-leaved blue lupine) is the source of this 101-nucleotide non-coding RNA. The record is from Rfam. Lineage: Eukaryota; Viridiplantae; Streptophyta; Magnoliopsida; Fabales; Fabaceae.